This 58-nucleotide transfer RNA is filed under the name Megalodontes spiraeae. Its description in RNAcentral is "tRNA-Ser". Lineage: Eukaryota; Metazoa; Arthropoda; Insecta; Hymenoptera; Megalodontesidae. The record is from RNAcentral.
GAAAUAUAUAAAUUAAAGCUUCUAACUUUAAAAAAGAUAUUAAAAUAUCUAUAUUUCU